GCACCGCUGAGGAGUCUCACAAUAGGAUGAAACGGUCGUUCGGUGC
This 46-nucleotide non-coding RNA is filed under the name Schistosoma mansoni. Lineage: Eukaryota; Metazoa; Platyhelminthes; Trematoda; Strigeidida; Schistosomatidae. The record is from RNAcentral.